GAGUUUGAUCGUGGCUCAGAUUGAACGCUGGCGGCAUGCCUUACUCAUGCAAGUCGAACGGCAGCAUGAUCUAGCUUGCUAGAUUGAUGGCGAGUGGCGAACGGGUGAGUAAUACAUCGGAACGUGCCCUGUAGUGGGGGAUAACUAGUCGAAAGAUUAGCUAAUACCGCAUACGACCUGAGGGUGAAAGUGGGGGACCGCAAGGCCUCAUGCUAUAGGAGCGGCCGAUGUCUGAUUAGCUAGUUGGUGGGGUAAAGGCCCACCAAGGCGACGAUCAGUAGCUGGUCUGAGAGGACGAUCAGCCACACUGGGACUGAGACACGGCCCAGACUCCUACGGGAGGCAGCAGUGGGGAAUUUUGGACAAUGGGCGAAAGCCUGAUCCAGCAAUGCCGCGUGUGUGAAGAAGGCCUCGG
RNAcentral lists this ribosomal RNA (415 nucleotides) under uncultured microorganism. RNAcentral's name for it is "bacterial SSU rRNA". It matches the Rfam family "Bacterial small subunit ribosomal RNA", at positions 9 to 420 of the family's 1533-position model. The record is from RNAcentral.